CCUCUGAGAGGAGUAGAGAUCUUGGAAUUCGUCGKGCUGGGGAUAGAGCAUUGCAAUUAUUGCUCUUCAACGAGGAAUUCCUAGUAAGCGUGAGUCAUCASCUCGCGUUGAUUACGUCCCUGCCCUUUGUACACACCGCCCGUCGCUACUACCGAUUGAAUGGCUUAGUGAGCCUUUGGGAUCGGCAGCUUGUACCGGCAACGGUAGCAGGCCGCUGAAAACUUAGGCAAACUUGGUCAUUUAGAGGAAGUAAAAGA
This 257-nucleotide ribosomal RNA is filed under the name Malassezia restricta. Its description in RNAcentral is "partial small subunit ribosomal RNA". The record is from RNAcentral. Lineage: Eukaryota; Fungi; Basidiomycota; Malasseziomycetes; Malasseziales; Malasseziaceae.